UAUAGGUUUUAUUAUGUACAUGUGUAUCUCUGAAUAUUUAUCACAGAUGAGAAAUCAAUAGAAAUGUCAGCAAGCGGAUCUUUCCAGUUCUAUAAGAGAAGUUCAUAAUUGGCCAGUUUUCCAAGGAAGUGUCCAAAGCCAAAGCAUUCCUUGAAGGUUCACAUGUGGGGAGGCAUCAGUUAUCAGGGACCAACACGCUGUUGUGUUUUCACUGGCAUAAUGGACUCCGUUUCAUACCAGCAAAUCUUGAAAUCAAGUCACUUGCCAUUGGCCAACAGAAAAUAUAUAUAAAUGGAUUUCGACUUUAUCAGGAUAAUGACGCCAAACACACCAGUCGAUCAACUAUUUAGUGGUUGAAUGAUCACAAAGUGAAGACUAUGCCUGCACCAGCAUCGAGUCCGGACCUGAAUCCUAUAGAGAAUGUUUGGGCAACAUUGAAGGAUUAUUUAAAGCGACAAGUGAAGCCCAGAACAAAGGCUCAACUUGUCCAUGGAAUAACAGAGUUUUGGAACAACCUAACAGCGGAAGACUGUGCAAAAUACAUAGACCAUAUUCACAGAGUCUUACCACAUGUUGUUCUAAAUGAAAGUGGACCAUCAGGAUUUUAGUGAGGUGGAUCAUUAAAAAAUCAAGGACUCCAACACAAUGCAUAUACAGUGUAUAUGUGACCAAUGUUGUACUGAAUAGUUUACUGACAUUUAGGUUAGCAGGGCCGAAAUUGGUGUAAAGACAGUGAAGCGUCUCCUUAUGGAUAACACAACUUUCACUGGUGACAUAAACACAGAUGCCUCCCAGCGUGCAAUGCUUCAGUACAGAAACACACCAAAGCAAACUCUCUCCAGCCAUGUGCAUAUUUGGCCGUCCCAUUCGAGACUUCAUAAUAAUUCCACCUGGAAAGUAUAAACCUCAUGAAACUUGGUUAAGCACAUCACUGGCCCCUGAAGAAGCCUUGCUAAACAGGCACAUGCGUUGUGCAGAAAAACUGUUAGAGCACACUCAGAGAUUACCACCUCUAGCUGUGGGAGAUAAUGUUCGCCUGCAAAACCAAAUUGGACUCAAUCCUCUCAAGUGGGACAAGACUGGAGUGGUAAUUGAAGUUCGCCAAUUUACCAGUAUGUGGUACGACUUGAUGGCUCAAGACGGGUAGCACUUCGCAAUAAGAAGUUCCUACGGAACUAUAUCCCCGUUCAACUACCACCACGACGGCUGUCCAUUGAUAGUGACCUAGCACUCAGACUACCUGCAGCUACAACUGAAAAUCCCACAGCACACUCCAUCACACCAGCAGUGACCACAACACAUGCAACCAGAUCCACGCCGGCUGCAACCAACACUGGGAUCCCAACACACUCUGCUCCUCACCCUACUGUGUCACCCGGUACGGUAACGCCAAGCAGCAGUGAGACACCCAGCCGAGGUAACCUGCUGCAGAGUCGUCAUCAGCUAGCCUAUACUGAGCCUCCGAGUCCUGACAGUCGACCAGUAAACAUUUUCCGUGGACACAGGACCAAGUCGCGAGACACAAAACCGCAUGAUACCCCCGCAGACGGACCUGUUGUGCACUCCAGUCAGACGAUCAGGAAGAACUAGAAUUGCCUCAGAGUGGCAGAAAGACUAUGUCAUGUGAUUGUUGACAAAGACUCGUAUAUUUGACCACAUAAAAGACAUUUGUUUUUGUUUUUUUUGUUGUUGUUUUAAAGUUCAAACUUCUUCUUACUUUAUAAGGGAGUAGACCUAGUGGGCUCAAAUGUUCCCAGUUUUAUUGUUAUCAGUCUUUGUUUCAACUUCAAUUUAAGUGUCAUAUUAUUUCAUAUGCAUAUUUCAUACCCAAAGACUUGUGGGGAGAUAGAGGAUAGUAUAGCAUCAUUUCUCUAAUUAUCAUUUUAUAGAUCUAAUUGUCAUCAUUGUUAAUUUCAGAUCUUGAUCAUUGUCGAUGGAAAUAAAG
This is a long non-coding RNA of Dreissena polymorpha, 1945 nucleotides long. RefSeq lists it as uncharacterized. NCBI's taxonomy places the organism in Eukaryota, Metazoa, Mollusca, Bivalvia, Myida, Dreissenidae. The transcript has 3 exons. The record is from RefSeq and is a predicted model, not a curated record.